RNAcentral lists this ribosomal RNA (1243 nucleotides) under metagenome. RNAcentral's name for it is "bacterial LSU rRNA". It matches the Rfam family "Bacterial large subunit ribosomal RNA", at positions 1564 to 2815 of the family's 2925-position model. The record is from RNAcentral.
UGAGUACGAGAUGCUACGGCAUCGAAGCAGUCUAUGUCAUACUUCCAAGAAAAGCUUGCAAUGUCAUAAACAAAUAAUGCCUGUACCAUAACCGACACAGGUGGGUAGGUAGAGUAUACUAAGGGGCGCGAGAUAACUCUCUCUAAGGAACUCGGCAAAAUGACUCCGUAACUUCGGGAGAAGGAGUGCCUUAUUUUUAUAAGGUUGCAAUAACAAGAUCCAAGCAACUGUUUACCAAAAACACAGGUCUCCGCUAAGUCGUAAGACGAUGUAUGGGGGCUGACGCCUGCCCAGUGCCAGAAGGUUAAAGAAGUUGGUUAGCAUUAGCGAAGCUGAUAACUGAAGCCCUGGUGAACGGCGGCCGUAACAAUAACGGUCCUAAGGUAGCGAAAUUCCUUGUCGGGUAAGUUCCGACCCGCACGAAAGGCGUAAUGAUUUGGAUACUGUCUCGGAGAGGGGCUCGGUGAAAUAGACUUGUCUGUGAAGAUGCGGACUACCUGCACCUGGACAGAAAGACCCUAUGAAGCUUUACUGUAACUUGAGAUUGAAAUUGGACUUUAUCUGCGCAGUAUAGGUGGGAGACGUUGAAAAUAUUCUUGCGGGAAUAUUGGAGUCAUCAGUGAGAUACCACUCUUAUAAUGUUAGAUUUCUAACUUUGUAUCAUUAUCUGGUCAAAGAACAGUUUCAGGCGGGCAGUUUGACUGGGGCGGUCGCCUCCCAAACGGUAACGGAGGCGCACAAAGGUUUCCUCUGAACGUGUAGAAAUCGUAUCUAGAGUGUAAAGGCAUAAGGAAGCUUGACUGUGAGACCUACAAGUCGAGCAGGGACGAAAGUCGGUCUUAGUGAUCUGACGGUGCUGAGUGGAAAGGCCGUCACUCAACGGAUAAAAGUUACUCUAGGAUAACAGGCUGAUCUCCCCCAAGAGUUCACAUCGACGGGGAGGUUUGGCACCUCGAUGUCGGCUCAUCGCAUCCUGGGGCGGUAGUACGUCCCAAGGGUUGGGCUGUUCGCCCAUGAAAGCGGUACGCGAGCUGGGUUCAGAACGUCGUGAGACAGUUCGGUCCAUAUCCGGUGUAGGCGUUAGAAUAUUGAGAGGAGCCUUCUUUAGUACGAGAGGACCGAGAAGGACAUACCUCUGGUGUACCAGUUAUCGUGCCAACGGUAAACGCUGGGUAGCCAUGUAUGGAGAGGAUAACCGCUGAAAGCAUCUAAGUGGGAAGCCCACCUCAAGAUAAGUAUUCCC